AACGACGCUGGCGGCGUGCUUAACACAUGCAAGUCGAACGCGAAAGGGACUUCGGUCCUGAGUAAAGUGGCGCACGGGUGAGUAACGCGUAGAUAACCUGUCUUCAUGUCUGGAAUAAUACGCCGAAAGGGGUACUAAUACCGGAUAUUCUUGCUUUUUCAUAAGUUUAUGCAAGCAAAGGUGGCCUCUGCAUAUGCUACUGCAUGAAGAGGGGUCUGCGUACCAUUAGCUAGUAGGUGGGGUAAUGGCCUACCUAGGCGACGAUGGUUAGCGGGUCUGAGAGGAUGAUCCGCCACACUGGCACUGGAACACGGGCCAGACUCCUACGGGAGGCAGCAGUGAGGAAUAUUGCGCAAUGGGGGAAACCCUGACGCAGCGACGCCGCGUGAGUGAAGGAAGGCCUUCGGGUCGUAAAGCUCUGUCAAGAGGAAAGAAGUGUACAAUGGCUAAUACCUGUUGUAUUUGACGGUACCUCUAAAGGAAGCACCGGCUAACUCCGUGCCAGCCGCAGC
This 512-nucleotide ribosomal RNA is filed under the name uncultured bacterium. RNAcentral describes it as "bacterial SSU rRNA". It matches the Rfam family "Bacterial small subunit ribosomal RNA", at positions 32 to 518 of the family's 1533-position model. The record is from RNAcentral.